AAAAAAAACAUAUCCCCAAUCCUCUUUCACGUUCAUCCAUGGCCGACAACAACAAGGCGGCAGAUCGGCAUGGUGCGGUGGUGGAUCUCCGGCAGAGUGCUUCUCCAACCAGCAUGCCGAAGUCGUUUGCCUCUUCUUCUUAUGUCCUUCUUGAAUUGGAUUGGUAAUAUUACAGUGGGACUACACUACAAUAACUGGAUUGCGGAUCAGUGUGGAGUUCCUGUUUUUGAAGAAUGGAGAAAGCAAAUGUACAAUUACGUAUCUAAGAACAAGCUCGUGUAUCACAAAUCUAUUUUUUCGUAUCUUUGUAUAUGGGUUAUAGCAACCCUUAUGCUAUCUUAUAUACAUGUUUUUGGCCUUUCAAAAACAACUUGUCCCUUCCUUGAAAACAAGUACAGAUUUUAUGGAACGAAUGAUGGAUUUGAUUCAACUUAGAUCAUGGAAUUGGCUUGUGGCAAGGACUAGGAGUUUUCAACACUCCUUAUCUGAAUGGUGCUCCAAUCGUGUUAUGUGCAUAAAGGAUGUUGGCUGAUUUUUUUUUAUUAUGAAUUUUACUGUGUUUGGUUGGAUUUUGGGCCACCUUGGAUUGGAUUUGAGGCUUUAGAAGGGGUUAGCUACAUAUUGUAUACUGCCAUAGAUUGUAUUGUUUUGUAGCUAUUGUCAGCAUUGCAGGCUCGACUGAUGUGUUGUGUCUCUGUUUUUUCUUGUUAUGUUCUUUUUUCUACUGUCUUUGGUGCUAUUUUGUAUUUAGUUUCUUAUUUGUACUGGGUUGAAGUACCCCUUGUACUUCUCACUAUUAUUAAUAUAUAUAUACACACACACAUUGGCCUA
Molecule: long non-coding RNA, 831 nt
Organism: Lotus japonicus
Lineage: Eukaryota; Viridiplantae; Streptophyta; Magnoliopsida; Fabales; Fabaceae
Exons: 2
Source: RefSeq, a predicted model, not a curated record